AUUGAACGCUGGCGGCAUGCUUUACACAUGCAAGUCGAACGGUAACAGGCCGCAAGGUGCUGACGAGUGGCGAACGGGUGAGUAAUGUAUCGGAACGUGCCCAGUCGUGGGGGAUAACGCAGCGAAAGCUGUGCUAAUACCGCAUACGAUCUAUGGAUGAAAGCGGGGGACCGUAAGGCCUCGCGCGAUUGGAGCGGCCGAUAUCAGAUUAGGUAGGUGGUGGGGUAAAGGCUCACCAAGCCGACGAUCUGUAGCUGGUCUGAGAGGACGACCAGCCACACUGGGACUGAGACACGGCCCAGACUCCUACGGGAGGCAGCAGUGGGGAAUUUUGGACAAUGGGCGCAAGCCUGAUCCAGCAAUGCCGCGUGCAGGACGAAGGCCCUCGGGUUGUAAACUGCUUUUGUACGGAGCGAAACGGCCCUCUCUAAUAAAGAGGGCUAAUGACGGUACCGUAAGAAUAAGCACCGGCUAACUACGUGCCAGCCGCCGCAGUAA
Molecule: ribosomal RNA, 498 nt
Filed under: uncultured bacterium
Lineage: Bacteria
Description: partial 16S ribosomal RNA
Rfam family: Bacterial small subunit ribosomal RNA
Source: RNAcentral